CUUACCAUGCAAGUCGAACGAUGAACUUGGAGCUUGCUCUGGGGGAUUAGUGGCGAACGGGUGAGUAACACGUGAGUAACCUGCCCUGGUACUCUGGGAUAACUUCGAGAAAUCGGCAGCAUAAUACCGGAUAGGACCUUGCACCGCAUGGUGUGGGGUGAGAAAGUUUCUUCUGGUGUUGGGAUGGACUCGCGGCCUAUCAUCUUGUUGGUGAGGUAAUGGCUCACCAAGGCGUCGACGGGUAGCCGGCCUGAGAGGGUGACCGGCCACACUGGGACUGAGACACGGCCCACACUCCUACGGGAGGCAGCAGUGGGGAAUAUUGCACAAUGGGCGCAAGCCUGAUGCAGCAACGCCGCGUGCGAGAUGACGGCCUUCGGGUUGUAAACCGCUUUUAGUAGGGAAGAAGCCUUCGGGUGACGGUACCUGCAGAAAAAGGACCGGCUAACUACGUGCCAGCAGCCGCGUGUAAUACGUAGGGUCCGAGCGUUGUCCGGAAUUAUUGGGCGUAAAGAGCUCGUAGGCGGUUUGUCGCGUCUGCUGUGAAAACUAGAGGCUCAACCUCUAGCCUGCAGUGGGUACGGGCAGACUUGAGUGGUGUAGGGGAGACUGGAAUUCCUGGUGUAGCGGUGGAAUGCGCAGAUAUACAGAGAAGAACACCGAUGGCGAAGGCAGGUCUCUGGGCACUUACUGACGCUGAGGAGCGAAAGCGUGGGGAGCGAACAAGAUUACAUACCCUGGUAGUCCACACCGUAUACGUUGGGCGCUAGAUGUGGGGACCUUUCCACGGUUUCCGUGUCGUACCUAACGCAUUAAGCGCCUCGCCUGGAGAGUACGGCCGCUAGGCUACAACUCAAAGGAAUUGACGGCGGCCCGCACAAGCAGCGGACCAUGCAGAUUAAUUCGAUGCAACGCGAAUAACCUUACCAAGGCUUGACAUACACGAGAACGGGCCAGACAUGGUCAACUCUUUGGACACUCGUGAACAGGUGGUGCAUGCUUGUCGUCAGCUCGUGUCAUGAGAUGUUGGGUUAAGUCCCGAAACGAGCGCUACCCUCAUCUCAUGUUGCCAUCACGUUAUGGAGGGAACUCAUGUGACACUGCCCGGCUCAACUCAGAGGAAGGUGGGGAUGAAGUCAAAUCUCCCUGCCCCUUUUGGCUUGGGCUUCCCCAUGCUACAUGGCCGGAACAAAGGGUUCCAAUUCGUAAGGCGAAUCCAAACCCAAAGCCCGGUU
This 1235-nucleotide ribosomal RNA is filed under the name Agromyces sp. Its description in RNAcentral is "bacterial SSU rRNA". It matches the Rfam family "Bacterial small subunit ribosomal RNA", at positions 48 to 1287 of the family's 1533-position model. The record is from RNAcentral. Lineage: Bacteria; Bacillati; Actinomycetota; Actinomycetes; Micrococcales; Microbacteriaceae.